Molecule: long non-coding RNA, 2048 nt
Filed under: Drosophila guanche
Lineage: Eukaryota; Metazoa; Arthropoda; Insecta; Diptera; Drosophilidae
Source: RNAcentral
AAACGGAACAAAUGAAACAUAUUUAAUGUGCAAAAGCUAUCUGUGGUCACUUAGUGUAAUCUCUCUCUCCGCUUACUGAAAAGUAUUCCACAAUGCGGCAUUCAGUUGCAAAUCAUUUCUGAGACAAACAGGCAGCACUGCUAUUCCACAAAGCAGCAUGCAUAGAAUCUAUAAGUUAAUUCUUUUCGUCGGGAUUUGGUUGGCAAUCUUGAGUUUGUCAUAUGGACAAGCAGCUUGGGACUCGGACUCGGACUCAGACAUGUUUCGUAGCUUCACAGCAACUGGAAAUGGAUGUCGCAUGAUUAAUUCGCUUGGUCGGUGCAGGAGAUUUUAAAAAUGUGUUAAUAAAUAUGGCAUUCAUCGGAUCACCAACAAUUUAGAAAAUUUUUUUUUUUUUUUUUUUUUUUCUCUCUCUUUAUAUUUACAAUCUGUUUUUAAACAAUAAGUAAAUUGUAUAAUUAAUAUUCAAUUAACAGAAAUAGCAGUUUUCCAAUGAGCCCUGCUAUUAUAUAUAACAUCUUUUUAGUUUGUUAAAUUUAUCUAUCAGGGAUAUCGAGAAUGUGGUAUCGAGAAUGAAUUUAGAAAAUAAAUGCAAAAUAUUUCCAGGAUCAUUACAGGUUAUUCUCAAAUGAAUGAAUGAAUGAUUGAAUAUUUUCUGAUCGAUACAUGUUCAAAGUAUUCUCUUAUCAGUUGAUUGAUUUACAUGUAACAUAUUUAAUGUGCGAAAGCUAUCUGGGGUCACUUAGUGAAAUCUCUCUCUCUGCUUACUGAAUAAAAUUCCUCGAACUAGCAUUCAGUUGCAAAUCAUUUCUGAGACACACAGGGAGCACUAUUAUUCCAUAAAGCAGCAUGCAUAGAAUCUAUAAGUUAAUACUUUUCGUCGGGAUUUUGUUAGCAAUCUUGAGUUUGUCAUAUGGACAAAUGAAUUUGGAACCAGACUUCGGCUAUAACUGGAUUUCAACUGGAAAUGGAUGUAGAAGGAUUAAUUGGCUGGGUCGAUGCUUGAGAAUUUAGAAAUGUGUAAAUAAAUAUGUCAUUAAUUCGAUCAGCAACAAUCUAACCAUUUAAAUGUUAUGUAAUAUCUAGAAAACAAAUGGAAAAUAUUUCAUUUAGGAAAGUGUUUUUAAACCUCUUCUGUUUUCACUGAGUAAUCUAAGUAACCCAUGAAUGAAUAAAUGAUUGAACCUUCCUUAAUUCUGUACCAUAUGUGUAGGAAAUGCACUGCCAUAGGCUAUCAGUGGUCGGUGGCUGUAAUCUCUCGAAUGAAUGUUGUUGUUUAUUCAAUUCUGUAUUGCAUGCACGGCCCCAAUGGUGCACUCAGUUGUGCGUGGAUUCUAGAGCUGUCAACGAUAAAGCAGAAACCUUCCAGUCAAAUGCAUAUUUUGUGGAAACUUGUUUGGCUUUCCUUAGUUAUUAUUUUGCAAUUUGAUUCCAAUUUGAAUCGUGCUUUUGCAAAUGUUUGUCGGCACAGAAAUCGACUAGGAAAAUGUAUAAGAACUGCACAUAAGUAUAGUAGAUAAUCGUAAUGGAACAUAUGAAUAAUAUAAAGCCUAAUAGAACAAUCUUCUUGUUCCAUAAAGUUCUUGAAAUACUCUAACCAAAAAAACAAGGUUUAACGGGAGUGAUGACUCCCUGAAAGGAAAGGCUAUCUCUGGGGUCGUCUGCAAAUCUUUCGAUGCAUCUGUAGUCGAUUAUUGCCUGCUGAUCGGAACAAUCUCGUCGUGAAUCGCAUCGGGAUAUUGGCAGUGUUCUUCAGCUACUUUUGCACCAUUGCAUUUUCUACAGACAUCCACUCGCAAAACUGCCUAGAUCUAUGUAAUGAUUACAAUUGGCAGGGUGAAUGCUUUACGCCAGGCUCAACAUCUCUCUCGCAAUUGGAUUCAAGUGAAAUGAAGUGCAUAAUACAACUCAUGAAAAGUGUGUCGAAUAAUAAAUAUAAAUAAAUAAUUAAAUAAAGAUUUCAUGCUUGAUUUCAUUCAUUUACUUUCUAUUUAUUCACAGAUUGUUGACCUUCCCUUAUGUGUAUUUUAUUGUCUUGGCCAAUCAGC